AGUGAACGCUGGCGGUAGGCCUAACACAUGCAAGUCGAACGGCAGCACAGUAAGAGCUUGCUCUUACGGGCGGCGAGUGGCGGACGGGUGAGGUAUACAUCGGAAUCUACUUUUUCGUGGGGGCUAACGUAGGGAAACUUACGCUAAUACCGCAUACGACCUACGGGUGAAAGCAGGGGAUCUUCGGACCUUGCGCGAUUGAAUGAGCCGAUGUCGGAUUAGCUAGUUGGCGGGGUAAAGGCCCACCAAGGCGACGAUCCGUAGCUGGUCUGAGAGGAUGAUCAGCCACACUGGAACUGAGACACGGUCCAGACACCUACAGGAGGCAGCAGUGGGGAAUAUUGGGCAAGGGGCGCAAGCCUGAUCCAGCCAUACCGCGGAGGUGAAGAAGGCCUUCGGGUUGUAAAGCCCUUUUGUUGGGAGAGAAAAACAGCAGGUUAAUACCCCGCUGUUCUGACGGUACCCAAAGAAUAAGCACCGGCUAACUUCGUG
RNAcentral lists this ribosomal RNA (492 nucleotides) under uncultured bacterium. RNAcentral describes it as "partial 16S ribosomal RNA". It matches the Rfam family "Bacterial small subunit ribosomal RNA", at positions 29 to 507 of the family's 1533-position model. The record is from RNAcentral.